UGGGGAAUAUUGGACAAUGGGCGAAAGCCUGAUCCAGCCAUGCCGCGUGAGUGAUGAAGGCUCUAGGGUUGUAAAGCUCUUUCGCCGAUGAAGAUAAUGACGGUAGUCGGAGAAGAAGCCCCGGCUAACUUCGUGCCAGCAGCCGCGGUAAUACGAAGGGGCUAGCGUUGUUCGGAAUUACUGGGCGUAAAGCGCACGUAGGCUGUGCCGCAAGUCAGGGGUGAAAUCCCAGAGCUCAACUCUGGAACUG
Molecule: ribosomal RNA, 250 nt
Filed under: uncultured bacterium
Lineage: Bacteria
Description: partial 16S ribosomal RNA
Rfam family: Bacterial small subunit ribosomal RNA
Source: RNAcentral